This 446-nucleotide ribosomal RNA is filed under the name uncultured bacterium. RNAcentral describes it as "SSU rRNA". It matches the Rfam family "Bacterial small subunit ribosomal RNA", at positions 26 to 518 of the family's 1533-position model. The record is from RNAcentral.
AGAGCGAACGCUGGCGGCAGGCCUAACACAUGCAAGUCGAGCGCCCGUAGCAAUACGGGAGCGGCAGACGGGAUAGUAACACGUGGGAACGCGCCCUUCGGUUCGGAAUAACUCAGGGAAACUUGAGCUAAUACCGGAUACGCCCUUACGGGGAAAGAUUUAUUGCCGAAGGAACGGCCCGCGUCCGAUUAGCUAGUUGGCGAGGUAAUGGCUCACCAAGGCGACGAUCGGUAGCUGGUCUGAGAGGAUGACCAGCAUCACUGGGACUGAGACACGGCCCAGACUCCUACGGGAGGCAGCAGUGGGGAAUAUGGACAAUGGGCGCAAGCCUGAUCCAGCCAUGCCGCGUGGAUGAUGAAGGCCUUAGGGUUGUAAAGUCCUUUAACGGGGAAGAUAAUGACGGUACCCGUAGAAUAAGCCCCGGCUAACUUCGUGCCAGCAGCCGC